GACGUAGGGGGCGAGCGUUGUCCGGAUUUAUUGGGCGUAAAGAGCGCGUAGGCGGCCCGUUAAGUCGGAUGUGAAAACCCGUGGCUCAACCACGGGCCUGCAUCCGAUACUGGCGGGCUCGAGGCAGGCAGGGGAGAUCGGAAUUCCUGGUGUAGCGGUGAAAUGCGCAGAUAUCAGGAGGAACACCGGUGGCGAAGGCGGAUCUCUGGGCCUGUCCUGACGCUCAGGCGCGAAAGCUAGGGGAGCAAACAGGAUUAGAUACCCUGGUAGUCCUAGCCGUAAACGUUGGGUGCUAGGUGUGGGGCGGCGAUUGACCCGCUCUGUGCCGAAGCUAACGCAUUAAGCACCCCGCCUGGGGAGUACGGCCGCAAGGUUAAA
Molecule: ribosomal RNA, 378 nt
Filed under: uncultured bacterium
Lineage: Bacteria
Description: bacterial SSU rRNA
Rfam family: Bacterial small subunit ribosomal RNA
Source: RNAcentral